UGCACAACAAACUAUAAUAUUUUAGUUAAGUUAGACCUUUCAUUACCAUACAGUUAUAUUUGAAUGAUGCUGCCCUUGUGGUUGCACAAUGAAGCAACGUAUCCAAAAUACUGUAAGCAUCAAAUAUGCACUAAGAUAAUCCCACAUCAAUCUCCAUAGGAAGCUUUGUGGUUGCACAACAAACUCACUAUAGUUCUUGAUAUGAUAUUGGCUUA
RNAcentral lists this long non-coding RNA (215 nucleotides) under Elaeis guineensis (African oil palm). RNAcentral describes it as "long non-coding RNA (EGUI_LNC052409)". The record is from RNAcentral. Lineage: Eukaryota; Viridiplantae; Streptophyta; Magnoliopsida; Arecales; Arecaceae.